Clostridiales bacterium is the source of this 215-nucleotide non-coding RNA. NCBI's taxonomy places the organism in Bacteria, Bacillati, Bacillota, Clostridia, Eubacteriales. The record is from Rfam.
GAGAACUGAUAUUCCGAUUGGUGAAAUGAGGGAGUAACGCCCUGAAGCGCCUACCUAAUACUCCGAAUGGCAGGAAACCAUGCAACAGGUUUCCCCAAAAGAUGUUAUAGAGCUCGGUGAAGUCGGCAGAGAGCAGUCGUAAGUAUGAUUUUCAGACGAUACACGAAAGCUGUCCAGCGGUGGAUGGUGCUGCCUAUAUGCCGGGGUUCGGUUAC